Molecule: long non-coding RNA, 328 nt
Filed under: Sorghum bicolor (sorghum)
Lineage: Eukaryota; Viridiplantae; Streptophyta; Magnoliopsida; Poales; Poaceae
Description: long non-coding RNA (SBIC_LNC016174)
Source: RNAcentral
GCCGCAUGAAGGGUUUGCUUAUUUUCCCUAAUAAGGCACUCGAAAAAGUGAAUUAGAAGAACUUCUUCUAGAAUAGAAAGCUUUGGGCCAGUGAGAGUAAGGUUAAUAAAGCGGUCCCAUGAUUUCCUAAGAGAUUCUUCUUCCAGUUGUCUAAACGAAAUAAUCUCACGCCGAAGUUCCACCACUUUGGAGAUUGGAAAAUAUUUAAAAAAAAAGAAAACUAUUAUAUAACUCCUUCCAAUCUCCAUGAACACUCCCUACUUUGAGUUUAUACCAAUGUCUAGCUUUUCCUAUUAAAGAGAACGGAAAGAGCUUCCAUUUAAGGGUC